UACGUAGGGUGCAAGCGUUGUUCGGAUUUACUGGGCGUAAAGGGCGCGUAGGCGGCAAUUCAAGUCAUCUGUGAAAUCUCCGGGCUUAACCCGGAACGGUCAAUGAUACUGCUUUGCUAGAGUGCGGAAGGGGCAAUCGGAAUUCUUGGUGUAGCGGUGAAAUGCGUAGAUAUCAAGAGGAACACCUGAGGUGAAGACGGGUUGCUGGGCCGACACUGACGCUGACAGCGCGAAAGCCAGGGGAGCAAACGGG
Molecule: ribosomal RNA, 253 nt
Filed under: uncultured bacterium
Lineage: Bacteria
Description: partial 16S ribosomal RNA
Rfam family: Bacterial small subunit ribosomal RNA
Source: RNAcentral